UACGAAGGGGGCUAGCGUUGCUCGGAAUCACUGGGCGUAAAGCGCACGUAGGCGGAUUGCUAAGUCAGGGGUGAAAUCCUGGAGCUCAACUCCAGAACUGCCCUUGAUACUGGCGGUCUCGAGUCCGGGAGAGGUGAGUGGAACUGCGAGUGUAGAGGUGAAAUUCGUAGAUAUUCGGCGGAACACCAGUGGCGAAGGCGACUCACUGGCCCGAUACUGACGCUGAGGCGCGAAAGCGUGGGGAGCAAACAGG
RNAcentral lists this ribosomal RNA (253 nucleotides) under uncultured bacterium. RNAcentral describes it as "partial 16S ribosomal RNA". It matches the Rfam family "Bacterial small subunit ribosomal RNA", at positions 524 to 776 of the family's 1533-position model. The record is from RNAcentral.